Carya illinoinensis is the source of this 4754-nucleotide RNA transcript. It is a transcript of the gene named arogenate dehydratase/prephenate dehydratase 1, chloroplastic-like, with no coding region annotated. The record is from RefSeq and is a predicted model, not a curated record. The transcript has 12 exons. NCBI's taxonomy places the organism in Eukaryota, Viridiplantae, Streptophyta, Magnoliopsida, Fagales, Juglandaceae.
GGCGGUCGCUCCUCCAAAGUCUCAACGUCUGUACGACUGUAUCCGAUGCAGACAGUUAUCCGCUUGAACUGGUCUCAUAACUGAAGCGUGUGCGUGUCGUUGGAAGUAAAGCUUUCUUCACCUAAUUUUCACGUUCACCUGUUCGACGAAAGUCGUCAUUGUUUUAAUUCUAUUGCUUUUCGCAACACAUUCCUGGUUUUCAAAGCCGUUUCUGAUGGUUCCGGAGUAUAGCAAACAUCGCGGGGAAACAUAUUGGUUUUGAAGCUUUUGAUGGCUUUGAAGUCUGUGAUUGUGUUGGAGAGCACAAAUCCUCAUUUUGGUUGGAAUGAUUCGGGGUCUAAGCCAUCUGGGUUUCCAUUGAAUUGGAUAAAUGGACCGGAGAAAGUGUGCAAAUCGAUAAGUUUUGGUGGCUUUUCGGGUUUCUUAGCUUGUCGGGCCAUACGGAACGUGGAAGACGGCAACUCGUCCAAGCGGAGCACGAAGUUGCAAAGAGUAAUUGAUGAGACGAAGAGCGAGGUUUCCAAGAGAUUGCAAAAGGAUUCGAGCUCCUUUCCAAAACCAUUAUCUGUAUCUGAUCUUUCUAGUACUGCUGAUGAUGGUUCGAAGGUACGAAUAUCAUUCAAGGGGUGUCCAGGUUCAUACACUGAGGAUGCCGCAUUCAAAGCCUACCCUAAAUGUGAAACCGUUCCUUGUAAUGAGUUUGAAGACGCUUUUAAGGCUGUUGAACUAUGGCUGACUGAUAAAGCAGUCCUUCCAAUUGAGAACUCUUCAAGUGGAAGUAUCCACCGCAAUUAUGAUUUACUACUUCGUCAUAGGCUUCAUAUUGUAGGUGAGGUGCAGUUGGCUGUUAAUUUUUGCCUUCUAGCCCUGCCAGGCGUCAGAUCAGAGCACUUGAAACGUGUUAUAAGCCAUCCACAGGCACUUUCGUUAAGUGAUAGUCUCCUGAGUAAGUUAGGUGUUUCCAGGGAAAACGUUGAUGAUACAGCUGUGGCUGCUCAGUAUGUAGCCUCAAAUGGCCUAAGGGAUGCUGGUGUUGUCGCAAGUGCUCGAGCUGCAGAAAUCUAUGGGCUUAACAUACUAGCAGAUGGAAUCCAGGAUGACUCUGAUAACAUUACUCGUUUUCUGGUACUUGCAAGGGAUCCAAUAAUUCCAAGAACUAAUAAGCAGUUUAAAACAAGCAUUGUAUUUACCUUGGAUGAAGGCCCUGGAGUUUUAUUUAAAGCCUUAGCAGUAUUUGCUCUGAGGGGCAUAAAUUUGACAAAGAUUGAAAGUCGACCACAGAGAAAGCGGCCAUUAAGAGUAGUUGAUGACUCUAACACGGGAAGUGCCAAAUAUUUUGACUACCUUUUCUAUAUUGAUUUUGAGGCUUCUAUGGCAGAGCCCCGUGCACAAAAUGCUUUAGGACAUCUGCAGGAAUUUGCAACAUUCCUUCGCAUACUUGGUUGCUAUCCCAUGGAUACCACUUUGUAGUCCCUGUAUUCUUUGCAAUCUUCUUGUGAAUGGUCUUCUGAGAUCUCUGAGUAGAUAAGAAGGCUGCUUCACUACCAGUGAUUACAUAGUUGAAAGCUAGUGGACAACUUGGUUUUGGAUUCUGAAAGGGAGCAGCAAGAUCAGUAGUGAUGCUGAUGGCAUGGUGAUGGAGUCCGAAUGAUUAUGGUGGAGCAGUGGUGGUAAAUGGUGUUGGUGGUCUUACGUACUGGCCUACUUGAUAAAUAUUGGAGAUGGUGAAAGUACCAUCUAUAAGGCGAUAUGGCAUUGCUUAAAAAAAUGGUGAUACAACAUUGUAUGCAACCUUCUUUUUGGGUAUGGGGAGCUUUGUCUAUAGGCAAGGCUUAAGGUUUUAUAGCCAUACCUUUCAAAAUACUGUCAGUGGCCAUGUAGGAAAUGGUGGCAACAGCCGCAACAUGACAAAAUUGUGUAACCAGCCUAGUUGUCGUCUACCUUUGUUAGGAUUAACCAGUUAUUAGCGGCUAAUUUAAAGUAUAAAAGUAGAAGCAAACAAAAGAAAAUAAUGACAAUCACACACAGAAUACCAAGUUUUAAGUAGUUCAACUCAGAUUAAGCCUACAUCCACUGGUAGGGUUGGUGUCAAUGAACUCGCUAUCAAAACAAAGGUGGAUUACAAGAGAUCUCACAAAAUACUCAAUCCCAGAGUCUCAAUACACCCAAUGAACUCUCAAAAAUCUCACAAAAGGGCUUUACUCUAUGUCUCUGUGUGUGUGUGUGUGUGCGCGUGUAUUAUAGCUGCUCAAAAGUACAAUACAUUGAAAUCAAGCAUGUAUUUAUACUAAAAUGGUGCAAAAAACCUAAUUAUGAGCAUUCGUUCGAACAGAGUGUCAAGGGAACAUUAGGUCUAGUACUCGCUCAAAUUGAGUAUUGAGCAAGUGUUGAGUGAACUCUCUAUCAGGAUCUCGCUUGAGCUGACUGUCUAGCGAUAGUUGAGUGAACAAUCUGUAAGGGUCCCGCUCAAGCUGACUGUCGAUCUAACAAUUUGUCUAAAGCUUUGCUCGAGCGAAUAAUCUAGAAAUGUGCUUUUUCAACAAGAAUUAAGCCACCUCUUAACAAUCUUAGUCAACUAGAUACAAAAGUUCAAAGUUCUACAUCAUCCAUGUCAACAAGAGGCCUAAGAACUCGUGGAAUCUCAUAAGAGAGAGUCAAUCAUCUUUGGUUCCACUUGCUAAUAGUGAAGAUUGUAUCAUUAAUGUAUAGCAUACACAAUGACCUAUGAAGACACAACUCAAAUCUAGAUGGACGUUUUUAAUAGGGUUCACAUUGCACAAGUGUCCAAUGUCAUAUUAGACUUCAAACUCGACUCUAAUAUCAUUUGAAACGACACACAGAAAGAAUAAAUUGAAUCUAGAUUUACAUUUCAAAAUGACUAAUCAAAAUUAUAAUUGGAGCUCAUUAAAGUCAUUAUAAAAUUCAAUUCCACAUUGUAAGAAACCAAUGCGUGUACAUAGGAGUUGACAUUUAUGUUCUUCUAUCAUGUUAACUUACUUCUACAAUACUUCUCUCGCCCACUCUGAUACUAAAUGUAGCAUUACAAUAUUCGAUGAGUCUAACAAUCAAAAUAAAUAAAUAAAGGCAACUCUCUUAGCAAGUACUUACUAAAUUAUACAGGUGAGGUCAUGUAUAUGGAUUUAUCAAGAUCAUCUAUCAAACGUAAAGUGGUAUAUAUUUUCCCAGUGAUUCAACUAAAUCAAGAUAUGCCAAAAACAAAUUAUCAUAGGAUGAGUUUAAAUGUCUAAUUAUUAUGCUUUCAUUCCUACGGCUUUUCACAGCUAUUGAUCAAUGAAUCUUAACAUGUUGGAUGAUAUAAAAACUUAAUUCUGGAAUGAGGACUUGAACUCCUCCUACUCCAGUACUCAAAAGAUCAUAUUAUUGAAAUUAGAUAAACUACUUGAUCUAUUGAAUUGAGAACAAAAGCUGGCUAGAGAGAAGUCAGAGCUUCUCUUUCUAGGCGGCGUUUUCUAAUUUCUCACUGCACAAUCUGCUGCUUUGAAGCAGUUGUCUGGUUUAUCAAGGCAUACAGCAUCCGAACUCUACCUGCUUCCUUAAGUUUCAACUGCACAUUCUGCAGCAACAAAUUCAGAAUUUCACCGCACAUUUAGUCUGGCAGAGGAACUCUGUUACUGAAGAAAGCGAAUCUCACAACUAUCACACAAUGGAUUCGGAGUCCCUAAUCUCACAAACGGAAGCACUAUCAUGGCAAGAGCUCAGCUUGCAGACAACCCCAGAGGCCGCAAAAUCGACAUCAGAAAAAAUACUAAUCGGAAGGUUAGUAGCAGACAGACCCCUUAACAAAUUUGCUAUCCACCUUUGCAUCAAAGCCUCAUGGAAAUUCAUCCAAAAUUUCUUAAUAGAUGAUAUGGAUGUCAAUAAAUUCAUAUCCACAUUUAGAAAUUCAUAAGACAAACUUAGGGUGCUAAACCAAGGGGACCUUGGAAUUUCAAAUGAGAUCUGAUGAUUUUAAAACAAUAGGCCCCUGGUGCAACCAUAGAGGAAAUCAACUUAAACCGUGCCACUUUCAACGUACAAUUGCAUGGUUUACCUUUAGACCAUUUCAACAUGAAAAAUGCAGUGGACAUCGGAAAAGCAAUUAGCAACCUUAUCAGAGUAGAAGAAGAUCCAAUCUACGGUCUAGCCUUCUGCAAAUUUAUUCGUAUAAAGGUUGAGGUAGAUGUCACAAAACCACUAAAAAAAGGUUUUCCAUUGCCUAGAUUCGGGAACAAAGUUGUUUGGAUAACAUUCAAAUAUGAGAAAUUAGCAGACUUCUGUUAUGCUUGUGGAAGGCUCAGCCACUCUCAAAUCUUUUGUGGAUAACCCCAGUUAACUCCAACCAAGAUCAAAUUUGGUCCAUCUAUAAGAGCGGAAUACAGGCCCCCUCAAGGCACCUCUCAGCCUUUCAUCAAACAGAGGAGAGGCUUGAAAGCGAUUUUGGGCAUAUGGAAAUGGAGGAUCACUUGAACAAACAUUACAACAAGCCAAGAACAGACACGGAAAUUGAAGCCUGGAAAAAUCAUGAGGAAGAGAGCUUUCAAGCAAGACAAAGUCAAACAGUAUCAUCUUAAAAGCAAAGCCUUCAAUCUUACGCUUGUGAUGAAGAAGAAGUUCCGAUUGAUUUAAUUCCAUAACUGAUCAACUUCUUUCCAUCUUCCUCAAGUGCCAUCAAAAUCGGCGUGAAAAGCAUGAACUCGUCCGCUGAAGCUUUGAAGGAACAGUUUAACUACAGUGAUCAAGCUUCAUUCAUUACC